Molecule: long non-coding RNA, 305 nt
Organism: Erigeron canadensis
Lineage: Eukaryota; Viridiplantae; Streptophyta; Magnoliopsida; Asterales; Asteraceae
Exons: 2
Source: RefSeq, a predicted model, not a curated record
UAUAACCAAAGAUAUUCCUAUCCACUUCUAUUUAACAAGGCAUUUCCUUCCAUCUUCAGAGCUAAACAUCAGUCUUUUUGAAUGCUUUUGUAUUGAGUUUGCAGCUUUAUGCGAAUAGUUCCGUUCUAUCUAUAGUACCAGAAUACGCACACAAAUGCAGCAAUGGUCGUUGCGAAAACGGUGUGAUGAUGGCGAUGACUGUUGGUGGUGGAGGCGAUAUCGAGUGGUGUAACUUAUUGAUGUAAAAGUUUUCAAUGUAAAGGAUUAAUGAAGAUAUAUUGAAAGAUCAAUGAUUGAUAGUGAAA